Long non-coding RNA from Trachemys scripta elegans, 2131 nucleotides. RefSeq lists it as uncharacterized. The transcript is spliced from 3 exons. Lineage: Eukaryota; Metazoa; Chordata; Testudines; Emydidae. The record is from RefSeq and is a predicted model, not a curated record.
GGAUAAUGUCCCUCUCACAAUUGACAUCCUGGGAUCAAAAGAGAAAAAAAAGACGGGCUACUGGUACAUAUCACUACAUCCAUCCUGCUGGUGCUUCUUUCAUUGAGAUCACCCUGAUUCUAUCCAAGUGAAAGAUGGCAGCCUUCAGUACAAGCUUAACUGGUGACAAUGAGGAUCUGAUUUCAAAAGAAGUUUGCCUGAGCGAGGGUCUCAGGAGCUGGCGCUUUGUGAUUAUAUUUCCAUCUGGAAGAUAGGCAGCCACAAGCAGAUAUAAAGCAUCGUAAAAAGAUUCACUCUGGACUUGACUAACAUAAGGAAGAUCAGGAUAAGGCCUGAAGUAUUUCAGAUGCUUGCUUGGAGUUGCUCAAAUGAAUACAGGACUUUAUCUGGUAAAGGGCCUUUAUUACAUUUUAGACCUUUGCUCACUCAGACUGCAAGGAGAGCAUGUAGCUGGUUUGGAAUUAGGCCAGCCCUUUGGGGGAAGCUGAGGAAGCAAUUCUACUUGUUAGAUUAAGUUGUUUUCUGUCUCAGUGAUUACUGUUUUCUGAUUGGCUCCUUCCUGAUUCUUUGUCAACUCUCUCUCGCUGAGUCUGGAAAGCUAUGAGGGCUGCAUACAGCAACUCACUUGCAAGCGAUGACACAUAUAAUGAGGUCGCAGUGACCUCGGCAUACUGGCUUAGCGUGGCAUGUCCAGGUGAAGCCUUAGAAUUCCUCCCUGGCCUCAGAGUGCUUGAGACCCCAGACGCUGGAACAUGUUUGUUUAUGAGGCACUUCUAAUUUUAAUUUUGUUGGCAAGUUCAUCAGCAAAUUAGAGAUCAUGACAAGUAUUUAACAGCCUUUGGAAAAGGAUAGCAUGGAGUGGUAACAGUAUAGCAGGGUGCAAAGCCUACAGUUAGCUCUGAUUAAUAUUGGGGGAGAUUUUCAAAGGCACAGUUGGGGGCUAGAUCCACAAAGGAAAAAGGCUCAGCAUGGCAGUGCCUAACUUUUAGAUGUUCUGCCACCUAGUGGAACAGUUAGGUGCCCAGGCACAGGGAGAGUUAGGCACCCCAGGGCUGGAUUAACCUUUUAUGGGCCUGGCGCCAAACAUAUUUGUGGGCCCCAAUGGAGGCAAUGAAGCAUGGCUCAGGGAGAUUAGUCCCCAGAUCGAGGGGCUAGCCAGGGGCAUGGCAGGGGCGGCCCCGCUCCGCCCAGUACGAGGGCACUAUUUACAAACUGGCAGUUGCCAGAUACACAGUGGCCCUGUGAUUCCAGCAUGCCCCUUCCCCUCAGGAGGCGGGUCCAGGCCAUGCCACAGAGCUCCCCGCCCAACCCCCCACCCCGACUCCUUAUGGCCAGAGCCCCCCAGGACCCACUAUGCCCAGUGCCCCCCCAGACCUCCCUCAGAAAUGCACAGCAACCUGCACAACACUACCCCUGCCCAGCACUCCCCUGCCCACAGCCCCACCACAACUGCCCAGCACCCCCUACAGAACCUCCACUCCCUAUUGUCCCAACACAUACAUCUUCCCCGCCCCCUUACAGUCCAGCACCUCCCUGCCCAGACUCCGCAGAAACCCACUCCCCCACUCUGUGCCUCCCAGCUGCACUCACCGGCCCUGCUAGGAGGUGACUGUCUGCUGGACUGAGCCAGCAGCGCAACCAAGGCUGGUCCCGGGGCCGGGAAUCGCUCUGUCCCUUCAGGAGUGCUGCGAUCAGCCAGGCCAAGGCCUGCCUCGGCCGGGCUCCCUCAAGACGCACUUGCCUGGAAGGGUCCAGACAAGCCCACCACACUGUCCCCCCCCCCAGGCUGAGACUGGCCAGGCUUCUGCACCAGUCCCAGGUGGCUCAGCUCCGGGGAGACAGGUGGGGUCCUACAGGCCUGGAGCCAGAGGUGCACUGGGCUUCUGAGCAUGGGCCCAGCUCCAUGGAGCCACUGGCACCAUUGUAAACCUGGCACUGUCUAUGACUAGGUCAAUGAGACAGAGAGGAUGACUCUAUAACACUGUGGUUGGGCACUGAGAUGGAGACCUGGGUUCAAGACCCUGCUUCACAUCAAGGAGAGGAAGGAUUUGAAUAUGCAUAUUGAGCAGAUGUGUUCAGAGAACUAUUCACCAUGACACCAAGAUCUUUUUCUUGAGUGGAAACAGCUAAU